RNAcentral lists this ribosomal RNA (280 nucleotides) under uncultured prokaryote. Its description in RNAcentral is "partial 16S ribosomal RNA". It matches the Rfam family "Bacterial small subunit ribosomal RNA", at positions 524 to 803 of the family's 1533-position model. The record is from RNAcentral.
UACGUAGGGGCGAGCGUUGUCCGGAAUUAUUGGGCGUAAAGAGUGCGUAGGUGGUUACCUAAGCGCAAGGUUUAAUCUUGAGGCUCAACCUCAUUCUGCCUUGCGAACUGGGCUACUUGAGUGCAGGAGGGGAAAGCGGAAUUCCUAGUGUAGCGGUGAAAUGCGUAGAUAUUAGGAAGAACACCGGUGGCGAAGGCGGCUUUCUGGACUGUAACUGACACUGAGGCACGAAAGCGUGGGGAGCAAACAGGAUUAGAUACCCCCGUAGUCCCUGAGCGGG